AUAAAUAUUUUUAUAUUUUAAUAAUAUUAUCAAAAUCUAAAAAACAACGAACUCUUUUAAAAAGGGAGAAAGUCAUUUUUCUUAAAAAUAGUUUAAAUUUCUUUUUAAUCAAAAAUAAAAAUUUUCGUUGAUCUGAGCUCUAAACAUUAAAAAAUAUAAAAAAUAUUUUAAAAAAAAAUAUUUUUUACGAAAUAAAUGAAACCUUAAAUAAGAAUAUAUCAUGUGAAAAAAAAAAUUGUAGGCACCUUGGAUAAAAUGAUACCUUUGUUCUCUAUUAGUUGGGCAAUUCUCACAUUGUUAUAUUCACCUUUUGAAUCAUAUAAAAAUUAUAAUUAUAAAAUAAUUUGACAUUAAUAAAUUUAAGCUAAAAGGGUUACUAAGUCACCUGACAUUAAUUAUUAAAUUAAUUUCUCUUAAUAAUAUUUAUUAAAUGUAGUUAAAAAUAAGAAUAAUAAUAAAAAAUUAAUUAUCAAAAUGAUGUAAAAAAUAAAAUAAU
This 496-nucleotide unclassified non-coding RNA is filed under the name Hevea brasiliensis (rubber tree). The record is from RNAcentral. Lineage: Eukaryota; Viridiplantae; Streptophyta; Magnoliopsida; Malpighiales; Euphorbiaceae.